RNAcentral lists this ribosomal RNA (1015 nucleotides) under uncultured Burkholderia sp. RNAcentral describes it as "bacterial SSU rRNA". It matches the Rfam family "Bacterial small subunit ribosomal RNA", at positions 351 to 1364 of the family's 1533-position model. The record is from RNAcentral. Lineage: Bacteria; Pseudomonadati; Pseudomonadota; Betaproteobacteria; Burkholderiales; Burkholderiaceae.
GCAGUGGGGAAUUUUGGACAAUGGGCGAAAGCCUGAUCCAGCAAUGCCGCGUGUGUGAAGAAGGCCUUCGGGUUGUAAAGCACUUUUGUCCGGAAAGAAAUCCUUGGCUCUAAUACAGUCGGGGGAUGACGGUACCGGAAGAAUAAGCACCGGCUAACUACGUGCCAGCAGCCGCGGUAAUACGUAGGGUGCGAGCGUUAAUCGGAAUUACUGGGCGUAAAGCGUGCGCAGGCGGUUUGCUAAGACCGAUGUGAAAUCCCCGGGCUCAACCUGGGAACUGCAUUGGUGACUGGCAGGCUAGAGUAUGGCAGAGGGGGGUAGAAUUCCACGUGUAGCAGUGAAAUGCGUAGAGAUGUGGAGGAAUACCGAUGGCGAAGGCAGCCCCCUGGGCCAAUACUGACGCUCAUGCACGAAAGCGUGGGGAGCAAACAGGAUUAGAUACCCUGGUAGUCCACGCCCUAAACGAUGUCAACUAGUUGUUGGGGAUUCAUUUCCUUAGUAACGUAGCUAACGCGUGAAGUUGACCGCCUGGGGAGUACGGUCGCAAGAUUAAAACUCAAAGGAAUUGACGGGGACCCGCACAAGCGGUGGAUGAUGUGGAUUAAUUCGAUGCAACGCGAAAAACCUUACCUACCCUUGACAUGGUCGGAAUCCCGCUGAGAGGUGGGAGUGCUCGAAAGAGAACCGGCGCACAGGUGCUGCAUGGCUGUCGUCAGCUCGUGUCGUGAGAUGUUGGGUUAAGUCCCGCAACGAGCGCAACCCUUGUCCUUAGUUGCUACGCAAGAGCACUCUAAGGAGACUGCCGGUGACAAACCGGAGGAAGGUGGGGAUGACGUCAAGUCCUCAUGGCCCUUAUGGGUAGGGCUUCACACGUCAUACAAUGGUCGGAGCAGAGGGUUGCCAACCCGCGAGGGGGAGCUAAUCCCAGAAAACCGAUCGUAGUCCGGAUUGCACUCUGCAACUCGAGUGCAUGAAGCUGGAAUCGCUAGUAAUCGCGGAUCAGCAUGCCGCGGUG